RNAcentral lists this ribosomal RNA (374 nucleotides) under uncultured bacterium. RNAcentral's name for it is "bacterial SSU rRNA". It matches the Rfam family "Bacterial small subunit ribosomal RNA", at positions 524 to 896 of the family's 1533-position model. The record is from RNAcentral.
GACGAGGGACCCUAGCGUUGUUCGGAAUCAUUGGGCGUAAAGCGGAUGUAGGUUGCUUUGUAAGUCAGGUGUGAAAUCCCAGGGCUCAACCCUGGAAGUGCAUUUGAUACUGCGAAGCUUGAGUGGUGGAGAGGUAAACAGAAUUCCUGGUGUAGUGGUGAAAUACGUAGAUAUCAGGAGGAAUACCGGAGGCGAAGGCGGUUUACUGGCCACACACUGACACUGAGAUCCGAAAGCAUGGGGAUCAAACAGGAUUAGAUACCCUGGUAGUCCAUGCCGUAAACGAUGGAUACUUGUUGUUGGAGGUAUUGACCCCUUCAGUGACGAAGCUAACGCGUUAAGUAUCCCGCCUGGGGAGUACGGUCGCAAGAUUA